RNAcentral lists this ribosomal RNA (433 nucleotides) under uncultured bacterium. RNAcentral describes it as "partial 16S ribosomal RNA". It matches the Rfam family "Bacterial small subunit ribosomal RNA", at positions 29 to 507 of the family's 1533-position model. The record is from RNAcentral.
AACGAACGCUGGCGGCAGGCCUAACACAUGCAAGUCGAGCGAGGACUACGGUCCUAGCGGCGGACGGGUGAGUAACGCGUGGGAACGUGCCCUUUGCUUCGGAAUAGCCCUGGGAAACUGGGAGUAAUACCGGAUGAGCCCUUUGGGGGAAAGAUUUAUCGGCGAAGGAUCGGCCCGCGUUGGAUUAGGUAGUUGGUGGGGUAAUGGCCUACCAAGCCGACGAUCCAUAGCUGGUUUGAGAGGAUGAUCAGCCACACUGGGACUGAGACACGGCCCAGACUCCUACGGGAGGCAGCAGUGGGGAAUCUUAGACAAUGGGGGAAACCCUGAUCUAGCCAUGCCGCGUGAGCGAUGAAGGCCUUAGGGUUGUAAAGCUCUUUCAGCUGGGAAGAUAAUGACGGUACCAGCAGAAGAAGCCCCGGCUAACUCCGUG